Molecule: ribosomal RNA, 429 nt
Filed under: Chloroflexota bacterium
Lineage: Bacteria; Bacillati; Chloroflexota
Description: Chloroflexi bacterium partial 16S ribosomal RNA
Rfam family: Bacterial small subunit ribosomal RNA
Source: RNAcentral
UGGGGAAUAUUGCACAAUGGGCGCAAGCCUGAUGCAGCCAUGCCGCGUGUGUGAAGAAGGCCUUCGGGUUGUAAAGCACUUUCAGCGGGGAGGAAGGCGUUAAGGUUAAUAACCUUGGCGAUUGACGUUACCCGCAGAAGAAGCACCGGCUAACUCCGUGCCAGCAGCCGCGGUAAUACGGAGGGUGCAAGCGUUAAUCGGAAUUACUGGGCGUAAAGCGCACGCAGGCGGUCUGUCAAGUCGGAUGUGAAAUCCCCGGGCUCAACCUGGGAACUGCAUUCGAAACUGGCAGGCUAGAGUCUUGUAGAGGGGGGUAGAAUUCCAGGUGUAGCGGUGAAAUGCGUAGAGAUCUGGAGGAAUACCAGUGGCGAAGGCGGCCCCCUGGACAAAGACUGACGCUCAGGUGCGAAAGCGUGGGGAGCAAACAGG